CCUGGACAGUGCCUGGUGUACAGUAAAUGUUCAGUAACUAUUGAAUGAUUUGUCAUAAACUUACAUAUACCCUGAACCUAUCAGCACAGCUUUAAAAUAUAUAAGGCAAAUUGGUCUACAAAACGAUAUAGACGAGUGUGAGACCAACUCACACCCCUUAGAAACAUACUAGGAAAACCCAAAACAACAAAGAACUGUUUAAAUGCAAAAGUAGAAUGAGUGCUUUUACCAUCUGUAUUUCUUUUUUUUUUUUUUUUUUUUUUUGAGACGGAGUCUCGCUCUGUCGCCCAGGCUGGAGUGCAGUGGCCAGAUCUCAGCUCACUGAAAGCUCCGCCUCCCGGGUUCACGCCAUUCUCCUGCCUCAGCCUCCCCUUCCCAACGCUUCUAGAUUCUCCCCCUGCUAACCACCCUCUGUCAGAGGAAUAUCUCUUAG
Molecule: long non-coding RNA, 433 nt
Filed under: Papio anubis (olive baboon)
Lineage: Eukaryota; Metazoa; Chordata; Mammalia; Primates; Cercopithecidae
Description: lncRNA (ENSPANG00000050286.1)
Source: RNAcentral